UCACAACUAGUGUAAUUUGUAAUACUAGUAUAGUUACCAUCUAAGACUAACCAAACACUACAAUGGUGGUUUUAACUUGCAUAGAAUCUGGUAAGCCUUUGGUUCUCUUGAGCAAUGACUGGGUAGCAACUGGAUUUCACAUAAAAAAUGAAGCUGACGACGACGACGACGAUGAUGGCGGUAUCGAUCUAGCUCCCGCCGCAUAAUAAAUUUGUCAAUGUUUGUUGCAAAGAAUGAGGAGUACUUGAAGUUGUGUGAUGAGUGUAUGCUUCAUCAUAUAAGCAAGCAUAUACGAGAUGAGCUAUUUAUCUAUAGUAAAUAAUUUAUAUAUAUCUUUGAAGCUUCUAUAGACUUGCUCACCAUAUACUAUAUGGAUGGAGAAUAAAGUGUGUGUACUGUUUAUAUGGUUUUGCACUUUUGCAUACUAAUAUCAGUUUGUGACUGAUAUUUAUUAUAUUAGAGUAUAGAUAAUAUUUAAAGUUUUAAUACUGAUCUCCUUCACUCGUUAUGCCAUUAAUAUAUAACAUAUUGGCGGUUCAAAAGAAAGUUUUUAUAUUUUAUUUUUCUUAUAGUUAUCAUAAGGAUUUCCUUUCCUUAAUUUAGUUUGUCAACCUUUUCUUUGACUAAAUAAUUUAGUCAAUAUAUAUAUGAA
Molecule: long non-coding RNA, 652 nt
Filed under: Cicer arietinum (chickpea)
Lineage: Eukaryota; Viridiplantae; Streptophyta; Magnoliopsida; Fabales; Fabaceae
Description: long non-coding RNA (CARI_LNC001388)
Source: RNAcentral